ACUACAAAACUAGUUAGAUCUAAAUUUACAUAUCACAUAUACAAUUUAAGAUCUAACUAAUACAUGCUUUGCAUACAUCUCAUGUAUCAAAAAUUGAUCUAAUUAACAUGCUUUCAGAUUUAAUACAUCACAUGUAACAUCUGAAAAAUAAAAUUUAAAUUAAACUAGUCAACAUAAAAUUUAUUCUAGACAGUUACUAG
Molecule: long non-coding RNA, 200 nt
Filed under: Elaeis guineensis (African oil palm)
Lineage: Eukaryota; Viridiplantae; Streptophyta; Magnoliopsida; Arecales; Arecaceae
Description: long non-coding RNA (EGUI_LNC076174)
Source: RNAcentral